UAGAACUUUUAGCGUCCCCUCAAACCUCUCAAAGAAUCCUUUGUUUUUCGAUGAUGUAAUCAAACAAACCAAAAUCAUGUAGGAUUGAGAUGAGCAUAACAUUUCAAUCCCAUGCUUUUUCUGUUCCUGCGAUUUUAGAAUCCUACGCAUCAAAGAGCACCUUACUUCAUCCUCAAGGUAGCUCGUUUUCUUGUCCGGGCAAAUUGGGGAAAAACUGGCAACCAGCUCCAAGCCUCCGACAGAUCGCCAUUUCCUUUCGCUUACACCACCACACAUCAGGGUGAGUUUCCACACGCAGACUUACAAAUCGAUAGGAAAAGGAAAAAAAAACUAGUACAGUUUCAGAAACACUAAAAUUAUUCGCUCCAACGCAAUCAGCAAAGUGCAGAUUGAUAGGAAACAUGAUGAUCAUCAUUCAUGGGCCGGGACACUGGCAAGUCUUGACGCAAUCGUCUCUGUGCUUGUAGCACGGGCCACCCCAGCAAGGACCAUCGCAGCACCACUUGAAUGCAUUUGGCGGAAAUAUGGCGUAGCGACAACGAUAGCUCACAUCCGUUAUGUUGAUCCCCAUCUUGUCGAUGCUCUGUCCUAAGAGAAAGAAAAUUGAAGUAGUUACAAUAUAUUCUCCCAAUAACAAGAUAAGUAGAUUUAUUCUGUAUAUGAAGUCAUAAAGUCUACAUGGAAAACCACUCUGGAUCUGAUCUUUCCAUGGGGUUGAUGAAGCAACUUUGAACAUACCGAUGACCACUCGAAAUAACAGACUUUAAUUGUUAAUUUUACCGUAUAUCGGCGGAGGAGUGGCCAAGCAAAUCACAAGAACCAACGAAAGUAGUAGGAGAGCUUGGCCAUUGUGCUUGAUGUGCUUCGCCAUGGUGUGAGAGAUUCACUGGGUCUUGGUUAUGUAUCCUUUACUUGCUGUUCAUUGCAGUGUAUGCAGAGCCUCACACAUAG
This 951-nucleotide long non-coding RNA is filed under the name Triticum aestivum (bread wheat). Its description in RNAcentral is "long non-coding RNA (TAES_LNC007332)". Lineage: Eukaryota; Viridiplantae; Streptophyta; Magnoliopsida; Poales; Poaceae. The record is from RNAcentral.